RNAcentral lists this transfer-messenger RNA (372 nucleotides) under Streptomyces alkaliterrae. Its description in RNAcentral is "Standard tmRNA". It matches the Rfam family "transfer-messenger RNA". Rfam says of the family: Bacterial tmRNA, also known as 10Sa RNA or SsrA, is named for its dual tRNA and mRNA-like properties. Its role is to liberate the mRNA from a stalled ribosome. The record is from Rfam by way of RNAcentral. Lineage: Bacteria; Bacillati; Actinomycetota; Actinomycetes; Kitasatosporales; Streptomycetaceae.
GGGGAUGAUCGGUUUCGACAGCGGAUGUCGAAGUAGGGGAAGCGAGCCGAGGAACGCGGCAAUGAUCUCGCUAACCAUGUGCCGCAAAAAAAUAAUCGCCAACACCAAGCGCGAUUCCUUCGCCCUCGCUGCCUGAUCAGCGACUUGCGAAGUGUCAGCCCGGGUGCGUUCCCGACCCGGUUCCUGGCAUCAGCUAGGGAACUCACCGCGUAGACCCGGUCACGGGGUCUGCCGGGACAUCAAACAGUGACUGAGCCCGUCGGCAGCUUGUCUGCGUGACUGCCGGGGCUGAGAAAAUCGAAGCAGACUGCGCUCGGAGAAGCCCUCCUUCCGCACCGUUGGACGCGGGUUCGAUUCCCGCCAUCUCCACUG